Molecule: ribosomal RNA, 253 nt
Filed under: uncultured bacterium
Lineage: Bacteria
Description: partial 16S ribosomal RNA
Rfam family: Bacterial small subunit ribosomal RNA
Source: RNAcentral
UACGGAGGGUGCAAGCGUUAAUCGGAAUUACUGGGCGUAAAGCGCGCGUAGGCGGGUUUGCAAGUCAGAAGUGAAAUCCCCGGGCUCAACCUGGGAAUAGCUUUUGAUACUGUGGACCUUGAGUUCGGGAGAGGGUGGCGGAAUUCCAGGUGUAGGAGUGAAAUCCGUAGAUAUCUGGAGGAACAUCAGUGGCGAAGGCGGCCACCUGGCCCGAUACUGACGCUGAGGUGCGAAAGCGUGGGUAGCAAACAGG